This 459-nucleotide ribosomal RNA is filed under the name uncultured bacterium. RNAcentral's name for it is "bacterial SSU rRNA". It matches the Rfam family "Bacterial small subunit ribosomal RNA", at positions 32 to 506 of the family's 1533-position model. The record is from RNAcentral.
UCAACGCUGGCGGCGUGCAUGAGACAUGCAGGUCGAACGGACACUCACGGGCUUGCCUGUGAGUGUUAGUGGCGGACGGCUGAGUAACGCGUAGGUGACCUGCCCCGAAGUGGGGAAUAACUGCCCGAAAGGGUGGCUAAUACCGCAUGUGGUGAUGCGUUCGAUCGCAUCAGUAAAGCCGCAAGGCGCUUCGGGAGGGGCCUGCGUCCGAUUAGCUCGUUGGUGAGGUAACGGCUCACCAAGGCGACGAUCGGUAGGUGGUCUGAGAGGACGAUCACCCAGGCUGGGACUGAGACACGGCCCAGACUCCUACGGGAGGCAGCAGUCGGGAAUUUUGCGCAAUGGACGAAAGUCUGACGCAGCAACGCCGCGUGAGGGAUGACGGCCUUCGGGUUGUAAACCUCUUUUGUCAGGGACGAUGAUGACGGUACCUGGCGAAUAAGCCACGGCUAACUACGU